This 389-nucleotide ribosomal RNA is filed under the name Dinophyceae sp. RNAcentral describes it as "partial small subunit ribosomal RNA". It matches the Rfam family "Eukaryotic small subunit ribosomal RNA", at positions 582 to 975 of the family's 1831-position model. The record is from RNAcentral. Lineage: Eukaryota; Dinophyceae.
AUUCCAGCUCCAAUAGCGUAUAUUAAAGUUGUUGCGGUUAAAAAGCUCGUAGUUGGAUUUCUGUUGAGGACGACCGGUCCGCCCUCUGGGUGAGCAUCUGGCUCGGCCUUGGCAUCUUCUUGGUGAACGUAGCUGCACUUGACUGUGUGGUACGGUAACCAGGACUUUUACUUUGAGGAAAUUAGAGUGUUUCAAGCAGGCAUACGCCUUGAAUACAUUAGCAUGGAAUAAUAAGAUAGGACCUCGGUUCUAUUUUGUUGGUUUCUAGAGCUGAGGUAAUGAUUAAUAGGGAUAGUUGGGGGCAUUCGUAUUUAACUGUCAGAGGUGAAAUUCUUGGAUUUGUUAAAGACGAACUACUGCGAAGGCAUUUGCCAAGGAUGUUUUCAUUG